AGAGUUUGAUCAUGGCUCAGAGCGAACGCUGGCGGCAGGCCUAACACAUGCAAGUCGAGCGCCCCGCAAGGGGAGCGGCAGACGGGAGAGUAACACGUGGGAACGUACCCUUCAGUUCGGAACAACCCAGGGAAACUUGGGCUAAUACCGAAUACGUCCGUAAGGAGAAAGAUUUAUCGCUGAAGGAUCGGCCCGCGUCUGAUUAGCUAGUUGGUGAGGUAACGGCUCACCAAGGCGACGAUCAGUAGCUGGUCUGAGAGGAUGAUCAGCCUCACUGGGACUGAGACACGGCCCAGACUCCUACGGGAGGCAGCAGUGGGGAAUAUUGGACAAUGGGCGCAAGCCUGAUCCAGCCAUGCCGCGUGGGUGAUGAAGGCCCUAGGGUUGUAAAGCCCUUUCGGCGGGGAAGAUAAUGACGGUACCCGCAGAAGAAGCCCCGGCUAACUUCGUGCCAGCAGCCGCGGUAAUACGAAGGGGGCUAGCGUUGCUCGGAAUCACUGGGCGUAAAGCGCACGUAGGCGGCUUUUUAAGUCAGGGGUGAAAUCCUGGAGCUCAACUCCAGAACUGCCCUUGAUACUGAGAAGCUUGAGUCCGGGAGAGGUGAGUGGAACUGCGAGUGUAGAGGUGAAAUUCGUAGAUAUUCGCAAGAACACCAGUGGCGAAGGCGGCUCACUGGCCCGGUACUGACGCUGAGGCGCGAAAGCGUGGGGAGCAAACAGGAUUAGAUACCCCGGUAGUCC
RNAcentral lists this ribosomal RNA (740 nucleotides) under uncultured bacterium. RNAcentral describes it as "bacterial SSU rRNA". It matches the Rfam family "Bacterial small subunit ribosomal RNA", at positions 8 to 796 of the family's 1533-position model. The record is from RNAcentral.